GGGAAUAUGGCUCAGUGGUAGAGUGCUUGCCUAACAUGCAUGAAGCCCUGGGUUCAAUUCCUCAGUACCA
Molecule: transfer RNA, 70 nt
Filed under: Dipodomys ordii (Ord's kangaroo rat)
Lineage: Eukaryota; Metazoa; Chordata; Mammalia; Rodentia; Heteromyidae
Rfam family: tRNA
About the family: Transfer RNA (tRNA) molecules are approximately 80 nucleotides in length.
Source: Rfam by way of RNAcentral